GACGAACGCUGGCGGCGUGCUUAACACAUGCAAGUCGAACGGAAAGGCCCUGCUUUUGUGGGGUGCUCGAGUGGCGAACGGGUGAGUAACACGUGAGUAACCUGCCCUUGACUUUGGGAUAACUUCAGGAAACUGGGGCUAAUACCGGAUAGGAGCUCCUGCUGCAUGGUGGGGGUUGGAAAGUUUCGGCGGUUGGGGAUGGACUCGCGGCUUAUCAGCUUGUUGGUGGGGUAGUGGCUUACCAAGGCUUUGACGGGUAGCCGGCCUGAGAGGGUGACCGGCAACAUUGGGACUGGGAUACGGCCCAGACUCCUACGGGAGGAAGCAGUGGGGAAUAUUGCACAAUGGGCGGAAGCCUGAUGCAGCAACGCCGCGUGCGGGAUGACGGCCUUCGGGUUGUAAACCGCUUUCGCCUGUGACGAAGCGUGAGUGACGGUAAUGGGUAAAGAAGCACCGGCUAACUACGUG
Molecule: ribosomal RNA, 468 nt
Filed under: uncultured bacterium
Lineage: Bacteria
Description: partial 16S ribosomal RNA
Rfam family: Bacterial small subunit ribosomal RNA
Source: RNAcentral